Molecule: non-coding RNA, 24 nt
Filed under: Cricetulus griseus (Chinese hamster)
Lineage: Eukaryota; Metazoa; Chordata; Mammalia; Rodentia; Cricetidae
Source: RNAcentral
GUUCUUGGGUCAUGGACACUCAUA